UUGUGUUUACCCUAAAAUGCUUUUUCCUCGUAUGCAUUUCAGGGUGUAGGGAUUCUCAUGGAAAAUACUUCCCAUGGCUGGCAUGGGAGUUGAAGAAUUGUUGCAUGUGCAGCCAAAGGUAAAAGAGGGAUUCAUGUGUUACCUGAAUUGCAUUUUAUCUGAUUUACAAUUUGAUUAUAUGUAUGUUUGUGCAGUCUGGUGCUUGUGUUGCUCAUUUCUAUAUGUGCUAAAUGGAGGAUUUCUUUUUCAUCCAAAACCCUAGUAUUGCAGGAGAUAGUUGCUUUAUGGGUCAGUCUUCUUACCAAAUCUUAACUCUAUGCUGACUUCUUUUUCUUUGAUUUCCUACUCUUUGUUCUGCAUAUGUGUUUUCAACCUAACUAUUUUCAUAGGGAUCAAUGGAAAUUAUGAUUUUUCAAAGAAUAUUGAAAGUAGAAGAAAAUUAAGCAUUUGUGAAAUAUGGAGGAGCAAAAUGAUUUCUUAGUUUUAGCACAUCAGUUUACAGAAGAUAUUGUAAUUUCACAUGAUGAAAAUGAAGAGGGGAACCCAGAUUUCCAAUGGAGGGACUUUUUGGGCUUGGGGGACUAGAAAUGCAAGAUAUAAGUGCAAAUAUUGGAGUUACCCAACCAUAAAUCUGUCCGAAAAACUCGCUUUAAGGGGAGGAUGUUCCUCAUACACAAGAUGGAUUUAGCAUGGGGAUAAUUAGAUCCUAGAUGUUUGUAAGACUCAAUUCUAUCCAGUUUGCGUCCUUUUGGGGCUCCAUCAUGUGGGUUCUUUCCCCUUUUCGGUCAUCUUAAACUGGCUCUGAUGGUUGUUCGAUUGGUAACUCCGAAAGAUCAGAAUAGCUGUAUCUGCUAAGAUAAUGGAUGAAAUGAUAUGCUAACUUGGCAACUCGAAAAUAAUGGCCCGUGUCUUCCUCCUAUUAGGGUAUAUUGAAUUCUAAUUCAAGAAAAUUUUGCAGUAUUCAGGGUGGAAGCAGAUCACUUAAUCUUUUGUAGUAGGGAUUUAAGAGGUUUAGGCAGAUGCUUGAAGGUUUAUUCAUACUUAUUGUGAAGCAGAUCAUCUGGAAAACUGGGGAGUUAUCAUGCUGAAGACAUUUUUCUCCUUAUUGAAGUUUUCCAAACAAACCCUUCCAUCUAGGGUGAAUUAUUGGUUUCAUUUGGCUGAGUAGGAGAUUUCAGAUAGA
RNAcentral lists this long non-coding RNA (1183 nucleotides) under Vitis vinifera (wine grape). Its description in RNAcentral is "long non-coding RNA (VVIN_LNC004461)". Lineage: Eukaryota; Viridiplantae; Streptophyta; Magnoliopsida; Vitales; Vitaceae. The record is from RNAcentral.